AUUGAACGCUGGCGGCAGGCUUAACACAUGCAAGUCGAGCGGGGUGAGGUGCUUCGGUACUGACCCUAGUGGCGGACGGGUGAGUAAUGCUUAGGAAUCUGCCAUUUAGUGGGGGACAACAUUCCGAAAGGAAUGCUAAUACCGCAUACGUCCUACGGGAGAAAGCAGGGGAUCUUCGGACCUUGCGCUAAAUGAUGAGCCUAAGUCGGAUUAGCUAGUUGGUGGGGUAAAGGCCUACCAAGGCGACGAUCUGUAGCGGGUCUGAGAGGAUGAUCCGCCACACUGGGACUGAGACACGGCCCAGACUCCUACGGGAGGCAGCAGUGGGGAAUAUUGGACAAUGGGCGGAAGCCUGAUCCAGCCAUGCCGCGUGUGUGAAGAAGGCCUUUUGGUUGUAAAGCACUUUAAGCGAGGAGGAGGCUACCUGGAUUAAUACUCUGGGAUAGUGGACGUUACUCGCUGAAUAAGCACCGGCUAACUCUGUGCCAGCCGCCGCAGUAA
RNAcentral lists this ribosomal RNA (501 nucleotides) under uncultured bacterium. Its description in RNAcentral is "partial 16S ribosomal RNA". It matches the Rfam family "Bacterial small subunit ribosomal RNA", at positions 30 to 523 of the family's 1533-position model. The record is from RNAcentral.